RNAcentral lists this ribosomal RNA (372 nucleotides) under Triticum aestivum (bread wheat). Its description in RNAcentral is "partial small subunit ribosomal RNA". The record is from RNAcentral. Lineage: Eukaryota; Viridiplantae; Streptophyta; Magnoliopsida; Poales; Poaceae.
AUGGCAGAUGCAGGAGCUGGUGGGGAUGGUGAUGCUUAUGAUCCAAUGAAAGAUCCAAAAUGCAUGCCAUGGAGGUCAAAUGAUCUGGGAUGGAAUUAUGGGUAUUGGUGGAAACCUGGCAACAUCAAUAAUGUUGUAUGCAAUCUUUGUGGCAAGAUAUCUAGAGGGAUCAAGAGACACAAAGAGCAUCUUGCUGGCACCGGUGGGGAUGCAACAUGCUGUCCAAAGGCUACCACACAACUUAGGAGGGAGAUGUUAGAAUAUUUGGAAAAUAACAGGAGAAACAUGGGUCAGCCAGAUGAUAAUGAUGAUGUAGUGGAGCUAGAUGAAGCAGGGACAGUUCAAGGCUCCACUAAUGCAGCAGCAGUUUAA